Molecule: ribosomal RNA, 254 nt
Filed under: uncultured bacterium
Lineage: Bacteria
Description: partial 16S ribosomal RNA
Rfam family: Bacterial small subunit ribosomal RNA
Source: RNAcentral
UACGUAGGGAGCAAGCGUUGUCCGGAAUCAUUGGGCGUAAAGCGCGCGUAGGCGGCCCCGUAAGUCCGCUGUGAAAGUCAAAGGCUCAACCUUUGAAAGCCGGUGGAAACUGUGGGGCUAGAGUCCGGAAGAGGCGAGUGGAAUUCCUGGUGUAGCGGUGGAAUGCGCAGAUAUCAGGAGGAACACCAAUAGCGAAGGCAGCUCGCUGGGACGGUACUGACGCUAAGGCGCGAAAGCGUGGGGAGCGAACGGGG